Non-coding RNA from Pelobates cultripes (western spadefoot toad), 166 nucleotides. The record is from the annotation of a GenBank genome assembly. NCBI's taxonomy places the organism in Eukaryota, Metazoa, Chordata, Amphibia, Anura, Pelobatidae.
GUCAGCUGACACAUCCCUGCCAAUCUCCGGCAGACCCUCUCCCCCAGACCCUCCCACCUCCUGGACAGCAUCCAUGUUGAAGCUGCCUUCAACAUGGAUGCUGUCCAGGAAGUAGGAGGGUCUGGGAGGGAGGGUCUGCCGGAGAUUGGCAGGGAUGUGUCAGCUG